This is a long non-coding RNA of Brassica oleracea var. oleracea, 1479 nucleotides long. RefSeq lists it as uncharacterized. The transcript has 6 exons. NCBI's taxonomy places the organism in Eukaryota, Viridiplantae, Streptophyta, Magnoliopsida, Brassicales, Brassicaceae. The record is from RefSeq and is a predicted model, not a curated record.
CCGUUACUGUGUCUCCUCUCCUAUCAAUCAAUUAUGCUCUUUAAUCCCCUUUUAAUUGUUUCGUCCUACCCAUCCUCUCUUUCUACUCAUAAAUAAAUUGCUAAAUUGCUUGGUCAAAACAAACUUCCAAGCAAAGCCGAACUCUUAGCUAAACGUCUUCUGACUUUUCAAUUUCUAAGAUUGAAAAACCUUUACCAAACAAUGUUUUCUCUGCGUCAUCAUCACAUACCUGAGUAUGAUCGGAGAAGAAGUAUCCUGAUCCAGUUCUCGAAGAGCCAAUCUUAGCUUUUGAUCCAUUCUCAGCUGCUUUAACGAUGAUCUCUUGUGGUGAAGACUCUUCGCAAGGGCUCUCUGAACUUCAUGAUCUCAGUCUCGGGUUAUUGCAGAGUGGUGAACAUCUUCUUGACAAUGUAUUUUAUGAAUGUGAGCAAGAUCUCAUGAUGAAAUCAAGUAUGGAGCUAUUUCUGUUGUUUUAAACAUCAAGAACAUCACUGCCGUGACAAUGGCAGCAAUCGGUAGAAUGGCAUAUGAUCGGGGUAGUUGAUCUCUUUUGAUUGGUCACAGGCACAACGGUUGUUGUGAUUCAGAAUUUCCCUUAUUUUUCUCAGUUGGAUUUUGGUUUUGAUUAUGGGAUGCCACGAGCCUUUAAAAGGCGACAUAUAGGUUUGAAAAACAUAUAACAUUUGCACAAUUCUGUAAACAUUCGUAUGUUGAGCCAUCAACAAUAUGAAACAAAACUUCCUGCUUUGUUGAAAUGAAUACGAAUUAUUGAUUCGAGUAUACCUUUUGAUAAGCAGAAACUCGGGACUGGUCAUUUUCAAUCUCCAUUGUAUAGGUUUAUUGUAAGCUGUAAGCUGUACUUCAGAGGAUCAGUACGAAAGUUGAGGAAAAAUGGACUCUACCAAGCACUGACAUGUCACAAUUCAAAAUCAUGCACUGAGUCACUGACUCAAGUGGUCAUAUGACAAUAUAGAGUUAGCUUUGCCAACAUGGGCUUCUUGCUUUUUGUGGUGGGACUCCUUAUAUAUGCAUACAUAUUUGGAAUACUACGACAAAUACUCAUUUAAUUUCCUGGGAUAUUUUAAUCAGGUACGCAAUCUAGCUUGGUCUAAGAACGUCUACGAGCUGGUUAGCACGCACAAAUGCUACUGAAACCAAAUCGUAGCCUGGAAACAGCUAACCAUCUCCAAAGUUUGGAGCAGGUGAAAGAGCAAAGAAGAGAGAUUCAGGAAGUCAGAUGUCAUUUUAAAGGAUUCUAUGCGGAACAGCCAUCUAGAACAACCCGAAGGUUGUUCCCGAAGAGAACAAGCGUUUGACUGUUCCCGAUCAUUAAGGGAACUUCCUAUUCCGGAAGUUUGCCCUAGAUUCCACUCUCUCCUAUCUCUUUACCACCAGCGCCUCCAUAUAAAAAGGCCUAUGCUAUUAUUUCUUUUUGUUACGCUAGUUUUGCAAGAGACCUAGAACUAUUUUCUUGGAUUA